CUUCGGGGUUAGUGGCGCACGGGUGCGUAACGCGUGGGAACCUGCCUUUAGGUUCGGAAUAACUCAGAGAAAUUUGAGCUAAUACCGGAUAAUGUCUUCGGACCAAAGAUUUAUCGCCUUUAGAUGGGCCCGCGUUAGAUUAGAUAGUUGGUGGGGUAAUGGCCUACCAAGUCGACGAUCUAUAGCUGGUCUGAGAGGAUGAUCAGCCACACUGGGACUGAGACACGGCCCAG
This 233-nucleotide ribosomal RNA is filed under the name uncultured Sphingomonadales bacterium. RNAcentral's name for it is "partial 16S ribosomal RNA". It matches the Rfam family "Bacterial small subunit ribosomal RNA", at positions 84 to 334 of the family's 1533-position model. Lineage: Bacteria; Pseudomonadati; Pseudomonadota; Alphaproteobacteria; Sphingomonadales. The record is from RNAcentral.